This 582-nucleotide ribosomal RNA is filed under the name uncultured bacterium. RNAcentral describes it as "bacterial SSU rRNA". It matches the Rfam family "Bacterial small subunit ribosomal RNA", at positions 102 to 682 of the family's 1533-position model. The record is from RNAcentral.
ACGGGUGCGGAACACGUACGCAACCUUCCUUCAAAUGGGGGAUAGCCCACCGAAAGGUGGAUUAAUACCCCGUAAGAUUUUCUGGUGGCAUCACCGGAUUAUUAUAGCUCCGGCGUUUGAAGAUGGGCGUGCGGCUGAUUAGGUAGUUGGCGGAGUAACAGCCCACCAAGCCAACGAUCAGUAACUGGUGUGAGAGCACGACCAGUCACACGGGCACUGAGACACGGGCCCGACUCCUACGGGAGGCAGCAGUAAGGAAUAUUGGUCAAUGGACGCAAGUCUGAACCAGCCAUGCCGCGUGGAGGAUGAAGGUCCUCUGGAUUGUAAACUUCUUUUAUCGGAGAAGAAACCCUAGCAUUCUUGCUGGGUUGACGGUACCCGAUGAAUAAGCACCGGCUAACUCCGUGCCAGCAGCCGCGGUAAUACGGAGGGUGCAAGCGUUAUCCGGAUUCACUGGGUUUAAAGGGAGCGUAGGUGGGUUGGUAAGUCAGUGGUGAAAUCUCCGGGCUUAACUCGGAAACUGCCGUUGAUACUAUCAAUCUUGAAUAUUGUGGAGGUAAGCGGAAUAUGUCAUGUAGCGGU